Molecule: RNA transcript, 1436 nt
Organism: Ochotona curzoniae (black-lipped pika)
Lineage: Eukaryota; Metazoa; Chordata; Mammalia; Lagomorpha; Ochotonidae
Gene name: elongation factor 1-alpha 1-like
Exons: 1
Source: RefSeq, a predicted model, not a curated record
UGCCAGAACACAGGUGUCAUGAAAACCACCACUAAAUCAAAGCCAAAAUGGGAAAGGAAAAGACCUGCAUCAACAUCGUUGUCAUUGGACACAUUGAUUCAGGCAAGUUGACCACUACUGGCCAUUUGAUCUACAAAUUUAGUGAUUUCAACAAAAGAACCAUUGAGAAAUUCAAGAAGGAGGCUGCUGCAAUGGGAAUGGGCUCUUUCAAGUAUGCCUGGGCCUUUGGUAAACUGAAAGCCACGCAUGAGUGUGGUAUCACCAUUGACAUCUCCUUGUGGAAAUUUGAGACUAACAAUUAUUAUGUGACUGUCAUUGAUGCCCCAGGACACCGAGACUUCAUCAAAAACAUGAUUACUGACACUUCUCAGGCUAACUGUGUUGUCCUGAUUGUUGCUGCUGAUGCUGGGGAAUUUGAAGCUGGUAUCUCCAAGAAUGGGCAGACUCGUGAGCAUGGCCUUCUGGCUUACACCCUUGGUGUGAAGCAACUAAUUAAUUGUUGGUGUUAAAAUGGAUUCCACUGAACCACCUUACAGCCAGAAGAGGUACAAGGAAAUCGUUAAGGGAGUCAGCACCUACAUUAAAAAAAAUUGGGUACCUUGACACAGUAGCAUUUGUGCCAAUUUCUGUUUGCAAUGGUGACAACAUGCUGGAGCCAGAUGCUAAUAUGCCGUGGUUCAAGAGAUGGAGUCACCUGCCAAGACAGCCCUGCCAGUGGAACCACACUGCUGGAAGCCCUGGAUUGCAUCCUCCCACCAACUAGACCAACUGACAAGCUUCUGAAUCUGCCCUUGCAGGAUGUCUACAAUAUUGGUGGGAUUGGUACUGUGCCUGUGAGCCAAGUGGGAGACUGGUGGUUCUGAAACCUUGUAUGGUCAUGAUCUUUGCUUCUGUCAACAUCACAACUGAGGUCAAGUCUGUUGAAAUGCACCAUAAAGCUUUGAGUGAAGCUCUUCCUGGUGACAACAUGGGCUUCAGUGUCAAGAACGUGCCAGUCAAAGAUGUUCAUCAUGGCAAUGUGGCUGAUGACAGCAAAAAUGACCCACCAAUGGAAGCAGCUGGAUUUAUUGCUCAGGUGAUCAUUCUGAACCAUCCAGGACAAAUCAGUACUGGGUAUGUCCCUGUGCUGGAUUGCCACACAGCUCACCUCGCCUGCAAGUUGACUGAGCUAAAGGAAAAGAUUGAUCAUCAUUCUGGAAAGAAGCUGGAAGAUGGCCCUAAAUUCCUAAAACCUGGUGAUGCUGCCAUUGUUGACAUGGGCCCUGUCAAGCCCAUGUGUGUGGAAAGCUUCUCUGACUAUCCUCCUGUGGGUCAUUUCACUGUCCAUGUUAUGAGGCAGAUGGUUGCCAUUGGUGUCAUCAAAGCAGUGGACAAGAAGGCUGCUGGAGCCGGCAAGGUCACGAAGUCUGUCCAGAAAGCUCAGAAGGCUAAAUAAA